Molecule: non-coding RNA, 45 nt
Organism: Schistosoma mansoni
Lineage: Eukaryota; Metazoa; Platyhelminthes; Trematoda; Strigeidida; Schistosomatidae
Source: Rfam
AUCCGGCUGACGAGUCCCAAAUAGGACGAAACGCGUGUCCUGAAU